AAGAGAACAACCCAGAAAGAGUCAGGUGGUCUGCUCUCUCUUGACUUGAAACUUCUGGAGAAGAGGUCAAUCUCUGACUGCAUCCUGAUCCAAGAACUCUUUACUUCCCUGAACCUGAUCACAAUCCUCCCAAACCAAUGAGUGGACAGAGAAUUGGAGAGAAAAGGAAUCCAUAAGAAGACUUAAUCCCAAUCUCCCUUUUUCCCUGAACUUGGGACUUCUGCUGUGAGGUGUCAAAGCCAGGGGUCAACACUCUGAACCUUUCAGGGAUUCAGGCCACCAGCUGUUGAGGCAUCUAGAUGACCCAUCGAAUGGAAACCUGGUCCUGGAGUCAGGAAGAUUCAAGUUUAAAUAUGUCCUCAGCAAGCGGAGCCCAUGAGAACCCAAGAAACACUUGUUCUUCUCCUGUCUAACCCAUCCGACUUUAAAUUG
This 432-nucleotide long non-coding RNA is filed under the name Monodelphis domestica (gray short-tailed opossum). RNAcentral's name for it is "lncRNA (ENSMODG00000048626.1)". Lineage: Eukaryota; Metazoa; Chordata; Mammalia; Didelphimorphia; Didelphidae. The record is from RNAcentral.